Molecule: long non-coding RNA, 106 nt
Organism: Nanorana parkeri
Lineage: Eukaryota; Metazoa; Chordata; Amphibia; Anura; Dicroglossidae
Exons: 3
Source: RefSeq, a predicted model, not a curated record
CCUCUGCGAAGUUUGGAGUUGUCUUCAAUGUCAUCAAUAAGUAGGCUGGCAUUGUGAAGCAUUUCGGUCACUUCAAUUAUUACCUGUUUUUUGUCUUCUGCGCAUG